RNAcentral lists this ribosomal RNA (248 nucleotides) under uncultured Anaerolineaceae bacterium. RNAcentral's name for it is "partial 16S ribosomal RNA". It matches the Rfam family "Bacterial small subunit ribosomal RNA", at positions 796 to 1041 of the family's 1533-position model. The record is from RNAcentral. Lineage: Bacteria; Bacillati; Chloroflexota; Anaerolineae; Anaerolineales; Anaerolineaceae.
CUAGCUGUAAACGAUGUAGACUUGGCGUUGGUGGGGUUAAAUCCAUCAGUGCCGAAGCUAACGCGAUAAGUCUACCGCCUGGGGACUACGGCCGCAAGGUUAAAACUCAAAGGAAUUGACGGGGCCCCGCACAAGCAGCGGAGCGUGUGGUUUAAUUCGAUGAUACACGAAGAACCUUACCAGGGUUUGACAUGCUGGUGGUAGGGAGCCGAAAGGUGACCGACCCCUCGGGGAGCCAGCACAGGUGC